GAUGAAGAACGUAGCGAAGUGCGAUAAGUAAUGUGAAUUGCAGAAUUCCGUGAAUCAUCGAAUCUUUGAACGCAAAUUGCACUUUCUGGUAUUCCGGAGAGUAUGCCUGUUUGAGGGUCAGUGUAAUAAAAAUAAAUCGUGGUUGUUACCACUUUUCGUGGUGACGCUUCGGAAUUGAGUCGUCUUACCUUCGGUUAAGUGACUUAAAAUUUUUUCAUACGAUUUCGAAACGUAUUUAAUGUAUUAUGUAUGUUCACGAAUAUCGAAUGUUUAUUAGGUGCGGUCAUUUUCAUGAAUUCGCGUCUAUAAUUUUUUUUUUUUGACCUCAAAUCAGGUAAGAAUACCCGCUGAACUUAAGCAUAUCAAUAAGCGGAGGA
RNAcentral lists this unclassified non-coding RNA (377 nucleotides) under soil metagenome. Its description in RNAcentral is "partial contains 5.8S ribosomal RNA, internal transcribed spacer 2, and large subunit ribosomal RNA". The stretch from base 1 to 120 matches the Rfam family "5.8S ribosomal RNA", at positions 35 to 154 of the family's 154-position model. The record is from RNAcentral.